GCCAACGUCCAAACCACGUUGAAUACACCGGUUCUCGUCCGAUCACCGAAGUUAAGCAACAUCGGGCGCGGUCAGUACUUGGAUGGGUGACCGCCUGGGAACACCGCGUGACGUUGGCU
Molecule: ribosomal RNA, 119 nt
Filed under: Helicoverpa zea (corn earworm)
Lineage: Eukaryota; Metazoa; Arthropoda; Insecta; Lepidoptera; Noctuidae
Source: RNAcentral